RNAcentral lists this ribosomal RNA (680 nucleotides) under uncultured bacterium. RNAcentral describes it as "bacterial SSU rRNA". It matches the Rfam family "Bacterial small subunit ribosomal RNA", at positions 141 to 808 of the family's 1533-position model. The record is from RNAcentral.
GGAUAACACUUGGAAACAGGUGCUAAUACCGCAUAACCAUAGUUACCGCAUGGUAACUAUGUAAAAGGUGGCUAUGCUACCGCUUUUGGAUGGGCCCGCGGCGCAUUAGCUAGUUGGUGGGGUAAAGGCUUACCAAGGCAAUGAUGCGUAGCCGAACUGAGAGGUUGAUCGGCCACAUUGGGACUGAGACACGGCCCAAACUCCUACGGGAGGCAGCAGUAGGGAAUCUUCCACAAUGGGCGAAAGCCUGAUGGAGCAACGCCGCGUGGGUGAAGAAGGUCUUCGGAUCGUAAAACCCUGUUGUUAGAGAAGAAAGUGCGUGAGAGUAACUGUUCACGUUUCGACGGUAUCUAACCAGAAAGCCACGGCUAACUACGUGCCAGCAGCCGCGGUAAUACGUAGGUGGCAAGCGUUAUCCGGAUUUAUUGGGCGUAAAGGGAACGCAGGCGGUCUUUUAAGUCUGAUGUGAAAGCCUUCGGCUUAACCGGAGUAGUGCAUUGGAAACUGGGAGACUUGAGUGCAGAAGAGGAGAGUGGAACUCCAUGUGUAGCGGUGAAAUGCGUAGAUAUAUGGAAGAACACCAGUGGCGAAAGCGGCUCUCUGGUCUGUAACUGACGCUGAGGUUCGAAAGCGUGGGUAGCAAACAGGAUUAGAUACCCUGGUAGUCCACGCCGUAAACG